UACGGGGGGAGCAAGCGUUGUUCGGAUUUACUGGGCGUAAAGGGCGCGUAGGCGGUCAGCACAAGUCAGUUGUGAAAUCUCCGGGCUUAACUCGGAAAGGUCAACUGAUACUGUGCGACUAGAGUGCAGAAGGGGCAACUGGAAUUCUCGGUGUAGCGGUGAAAUGCGUAGAUAUGACAUAGAACACCAAUUGCGAAGGCAGCUCGCUACACAUAUAUUGACGCUGAGGCACGAAAGCGUGGGGAUCAAACAGG
Molecule: ribosomal RNA, 254 nt
Filed under: uncultured bacterium
Lineage: Bacteria
Description: partial 16S ribosomal RNA
Rfam family: Bacterial small subunit ribosomal RNA
Source: RNAcentral